UCCUCUCACCCCAUCCCCCACCUCCCUCAGUCUGGCCUUCCGAUUCAGCUCAGGAGUGGCGGCUUUCAUUCUGAGCCCUCGCCCAAGUUUCAGCGACAGGAAGAGACGGGACCAGGGAGGGAGCAGAACUGAGGACACCGUGACUGAGCAGCCUGGAACCUAGACCUGGAGAUGACUUUUGAAUCUACUUUGGGGCAACAGAAAGCUUCACUGGGAAUGAAGAGGCCUGAUCUGCUAUCAGCCUGCUCUGUGACCUUGGAUAACAGCACAAGAACAUGACGGCGGCGUGAGCACUUCCUGGGGACAGAGUACAGACUUGGUUUCAACAAUUUGUUUUCUGUAGCUUUGGAGAAACUACUCAAUUUUUGAGUCUGAAUUUUCUCCUUUGAAAAAUAGAGAUUCUAACUUUUUAGGAUUGUUGUAAGAAAUACAUGAAAAAAAUAAAAUUUAUCCCAUGA
Long non-coding RNA from Manis pentadactyla (Chinese pangolin), 458 nucleotides. RefSeq lists it as uncharacterized. Lineage: Eukaryota; Metazoa; Chordata; Mammalia; Pholidota; Manidae. The transcript is spliced from 3 exons. The record is from RefSeq and is a predicted model, not a curated record.